RNAcentral lists this ribosomal RNA (497 nucleotides) under uncultured bacterium. RNAcentral describes it as "partial 16S ribosomal RNA". It matches the Rfam family "Bacterial small subunit ribosomal RNA", at positions 28 to 507 of the family's 1533-position model. The record is from RNAcentral.
GAUGAACGCUGGCGGCGUGCCUAAUACAUGCAAGUCGAGCGAACAGACGAGGAGCUUGCUCCUCUGACGUUAGCGGCGGACGGGUGAGUAACACAUGGAUAACCUACCUAUAAGACUGGGAUAACUUCGGGAAACCGGAGCUAAUACCGGAUAAUAUAUUGAACCGCAUGGUUCAAUAGUGAAAGACGGUUUUGCUGUCACUUAUAGAUGGAUCCGCGCCGCAUUAGCUAGUUGGUAAGGUAACGGCUUACCAAGGCAACGAUGCGUAGCCGACCUGAGAGGGUGAUCGGCCACACUGGAACUGAGGCACGGUCCAGACUCCUACGGGAGGCAGCAGUAGGGAAUCUUCCGCAAAGGGCGAAAGCUUGACGGAGCAACGCCGCGUGAGUGAUGAAGGUCUUCGGAUCGUAAAACUCUGUUAUUAGGGAAGAACAAAUGUGUAAGUAACUAUGCACGUCUUGACGGUACCUAAUCAGAAAGCCACGGCUAACUACGUG